CCUACGGGAGGCAGCAGUAGGGAAUCUUCCACAAUGGGCGAUAGCCUGAUGGAGCCACGCAGCGUGAAUGAAGAAGGCCCUCGGAUCGUAAAACCCUGUUGUUAGAGAAGAAAGUGCGUGAGAGUAACUGUUCACGUUUCGACGGUAUCUAACCAGAAAGCCACGGCUAACUACGUGCCAGCCGCCGCGGCAAUACGUAGGUGCCAAGCGUUAUCCGGAUUUAUUGGGUGUAAAGGGAACGCAGACGGUCUUUUAAGUCUGAAGUGAAAGCUUUCGGCUUAACCGGAGUAGUGCAUUGUAUACUGGCAGACUUGAGUACAGUAGAGGAGAGUGGAACUCCAUGUGUAGCGGUGAAAUGCGUAGAUAUAUGGAAGAACACCAGUUGCGAAGGCGGCUCUCUGGUCUGUAACUGACGCUGAGGUUCGAAAGCGUGGGUAGCAAACAGGAUUAGAUACCCGAGUAGUC
This 465-nucleotide ribosomal RNA is filed under the name uncultured bacterium. Its description in RNAcentral is "partial 16S ribosomal RNA". It matches the Rfam family "Bacterial small subunit ribosomal RNA", at positions 338 to 795 of the family's 1533-position model. The record is from RNAcentral.